UGCGACAUGGUGUAAGGGUAGCACAGGAGGCUCAUAUCCUCCAAGAGCGGGUUCGACUCCCGCUGUCGCCU
This 71-nucleotide transfer RNA is filed under the name Deltaproteobacteria bacterium. Its description in RNAcentral is "tRNA-Met". It matches the Rfam family "tRNA". Rfam says of the family: Transfer RNA (tRNA) molecules are approximately 80 nucleotides in length. Their secondary structure includes four short double-helical elements and three loops (D, anti-codon, and T loops). The record is from RNAcentral. Lineage: Bacteria; Pseudomonadati; Myxococcota; Myxococcia. RNAcentral also lists the same sequence under 1 other name.